This 348-nucleotide long non-coding RNA is filed under the name Homo sapiens (human). RNAcentral describes it as "TSKU antisense RNA 1 (TSKU-AS1)". The record is from RNAcentral. Lineage: Eukaryota; Metazoa; Chordata; Mammalia; Primates; Hominidae.
GCGCGCCCCAGCAAUCUAAGCAGAUGGCCGCACUGUCGGGAACAUCUGGAGGUCGCCGGAGUACGUGCCUGUAGUGAAAGAGGUUCAGGGACUACCGGGAGCAAGAAACCAAGAAUCUGAAGCAGAGAAAGACUGGCUGAAAGACGAACCCACAGAGAAGAGAGAGCCCGGCUCGGGCAGAAAAGCUGGCAGGAGAGGAGAGAGAAAGUCAACAGAUUGAGUUUUUCUUUUAGGAGGAAACCAUUGGCUUCUGGUUAGAGUUCUAAGAAGGGAAACUGGCGUGUGAGUAGGCAGCAGUUUCAGUCUAUUCCCCCUGCUGUAGCUCUUGGGCUCUCACCCCUCUUUAUG